Molecule: ribosomal RNA, 449 nt
Filed under: uncultured bacterium
Lineage: Bacteria
Description: partial 16S ribosomal RNA
Rfam family: Bacterial small subunit ribosomal RNA
Source: RNAcentral
AACGAACGCUGGCGGCAUGCCUAACACAUGCAAGUCGAACGAGAUCUUCGGGUCUAGUGGCGCACGGGUGCGUAACGCGUGGGAAUCUGCCCUUUGGUUCGGAAUAACAGUUGGACACGACUGCUAAUACCGGCAGAUGACGACAGUCCAAAGAUUUAUCGCCAGAGGAUGAGCCCGAGGAGGAUUCGCUAAUUGGUGUGGUAAAGGCGCACCAAGGCGACGAUCCUUAGCUGGUCUGAGAGGAUGAUCAGCCACACUGGGACUGAGACACGGCCCAGACUCCUACGGGAGGCAGCAGUGGGGAAUAUUGGACAAUGGGCGAAAGCCUGAUCCAGCAAUGCCGCGUGAGUGAUGAAGGCCUUAGGGUUGUAAAGCUCUUUUACCCGGGAUGAUAAUGACAGUACCGGGAGAAUAAGCUCCGGCUAACUCCGUGCCAGCAGCCGCCGUAA